This 483-nucleotide ribosomal RNA is filed under the name uncultured bacterium. RNAcentral's name for it is "bacterial SSU rRNA". It matches the Rfam family "Bacterial small subunit ribosomal RNA", at positions 359 to 833 of the family's 1533-position model. The record is from RNAcentral.
GAGAUUUUCGCAAUGCCCGAAAGGGUGACGAAGCGACGCCGCGUGCGGGAAGAAGGCCUUCGGGUUGUAAACCGCUGUCGGGAGUUAAGAAAUGUAAGGAUGUUAAUAGCAUCUUUACUUGACUAAGGCUCCGGAGGAAGCCACGGCUAACUCUGUGCCAGCAGCCGCGGUAAUACAGAGGCGGCAAGCGUUGUUCGGAAUUAUUGGGCGUAAAGAGCACGUAGGCGGCUAUGUAAGUCGGUUGUGAAAGCCUUCCGCUCAACGGGAGAACAGCAUCCGAUACUGCAUGCUUGAGUGCGGGAGGGGAGAGUGGAACUUCUGGUGGAGCGGUGAAAUGCGUAGAUAUCAGAAGGAACGCCGGCGGCGAAAGCGGCUCUCUGGCCCAUAACUGACGCUGAGUGUGCGAAAGCUAGGGGAGCAAACGGGAUUAGAUACCCCGGUAGCCCUAGCCGUAAACGAUGGGCACUAAGUAGAGGGGUUUUA